UGAGGAAUAUUGGUCAAUGGGCGAGAGCCUGAACCAGCCAAGUCGCGUGAAGGAAGACUGCCUUAUGGGUUGUAAACUUCUUUUAUACAGGAAUAAAAAGGCUUACGUGUAGGCCAUUGCAAGUACUGUAUGAAUAAGCAUCGGCUAACUCCGUGCCAGCAGCCGCGGUAAUACGGAGGAUGCGAGCGUUAUCCGGAUUUAUUGGGUUUAAAGGGUGCGCAGGCGGGCUUUUAAGUCAGCGGUGAAAUCUGGACGCUUAACGUCCAAACUGCCGUUGAAACUGGGAGUCUUGAGUAUGGAUGAAGUAGGCGGAAUUCGUUGUGUAGCGGUGACAUGCAUAGAUAUAACGAGGAACUCCGAUUGCGUAGGCAGCUUACUAAGCCAUAACUGACGCUCAUGCACGAAAGCGUGGGGAUCAAACAGGAUUAGAUACCCUGGUAGUCCACGCCGUAAACGAUGAUUACUAGUUGUAUGCGAUAUGAUAGUAUGUGACUAAGCGAAAGCGAUAAGUAAAUCCACCUAGGGAGUACGCCGGCAACGGUGAAACUCAAAUGAAUUGAC
Molecule: ribosomal RNA, 561 nt
Filed under: uncultured bacterium
Lineage: Bacteria
Description: partial 16S ribosomal RNA
Rfam family: Bacterial small subunit ribosomal RNA
Source: RNAcentral